GCGGCCAUGCCUGCGCCGCCGCCAACUCUCUCUGCAGUCCGCACUCACUCUCACUCCCGCAUGCAUGAUCCCUCGUAGCAACAGCUAGCACACCGAGCAAGCAUAUCGCACGCGCGCGAUCGAUCGGUCAUUCGGUCGACGACGCUGCCCAGCCAAAUCAAAGUCUUGAUGCCAGGCCACAGUUGCGCAGUGCCGCGCGCGCGCGCGCGCGUGCAUGUGCCAUUGCUUUCCUUCCGUCGUCUCGUCUCUCUCUGCGGCGUGCGUCUGCAAUGCAAAUAGCCGCGAACUCAGGCAUUGAAGGCCGCCCAGAUUUGUUUUUGUACAAAUUUCAGAGCCAAUUAAGCUAGUUUGGCGCUUCAGGCUGGUACAUGCACGUUGUUGGGUUGAAUUCUAGCCGGGUACACGUCCAGUGCAAGGCGGUGUUACGUAAUUUAUGCCAUUGAUUUGCCAACAGGACUGUGAAGACUGGAUCGUACGCAUGCAUGCAGAUGGGUUUGAUGAUGACGACACCGAGCCGAGCCGCCGUCAGUACAGUAAUCGUAAAUCACGUUCUCUUCUGUAAUUUCUCGGGAUAUGGAUCAUGCACAUGGCCGCAUCUCUCCAAUUUGUAUACAAAGCCACCAAACUGUAACGGGGCGUUUGGCUCGUCCCAUAAGCUAAAACAAAAAUAACUAGUCACUUUAUGAGUUAAAGAUCUAAACAUAAAAGCUAGCUUAUAAAGUGACUAAAAUGAUAAAAAGAUAUAUUUUUUA
Molecule: long non-coding RNA, 752 nt
Organism: Zea mays
Lineage: Eukaryota; Viridiplantae; Streptophyta; Magnoliopsida; Poales; Poaceae
Exons: 2
Source: RefSeq, a predicted model, not a curated record